Molecule: long non-coding RNA, 1566 nt
Filed under: Nilaparvata lugens (brown planthopper)
Lineage: Eukaryota; Metazoa; Arthropoda; Insecta; Hemiptera; Delphacidae
Description: uncharacterized LOC120350621
Source: RNAcentral
GUGGCCACUCAGCCGCUCUAUAUUUUACUAUAAUAGCUCGUUGCUACAGGUUGAGUUUGAACCUCAUUUGGAUAUUUAGCCUCUCAGCGACUCGUCCAUGGUCAAUCCGUCAAUCGUUCUUUUCUAGUUUUCUUAUCUUUUUCAAAGUCCCCAAUGUCUGCGUAUUCAUACCAAUAAUCAAAUUGAGUUUAUCAAGUGCAUUUGAUUGAAUAAAAUGUUUGAAUCAUUCUGGACAGUGUGGAAAUUUAUAAACUACUGGUAUUUUCGAUACUUGAUGGUUACAGAACUUUACAUGGUGGAAACUUGGGAAAGAGUUGUUAUGAAUACGUCUAUAUUGACAUUGGGGAGUCUACUGUUCUACUGCAAUUAUUUGCUGUUCUCAUUCUUCUUUCGUCUACUGUGGAGUCCUGAUGUGUUUGCUUCCUGAUAACAUUGAAAGAUACACACAUGUAAGAUGCAAACUACAUAAUACGCUGAGCCAUGCAUGUAACAAGAAAUAAUAAUAAUCCAUCCUAUUGUAAAAAGUUUAUAUAAGGUAGUAUUUAAAAACUUGCUAUUUAUCUACCAAAAAUUAUUCGUAAUACAAUCAUGUUGUACUUUUUAUUUCACGGAGAUGAUUUAAAAAUGUAUAGUUGAAAAAAAUGUUUUAUCCAAGGCCGGCCACGUGUGUCGAACAUGUGUGAACGGAUAUGUAUUUGAAAAUACAUUUACGCGAAUGGCUUCGAACGUAAAAAAGGUUUGACAACAGCCUCUAACACAAAGUAAACCAAUAAAAAUAAAUAAGCCACUCAAAAAUAACCUCAUUAACCAAAUUUGCCCUCAAAUAGAGCAGCGAAGAAAAAAUAAACAAAAAAUCAAGAUACAUAAACAAAAACGCACCCAAAAAAUGUUGUUCAAAGCCUUUCGUUGAUGACACAACUUGUCUGUCGAACGUGUUCACACAUGUUCGACACACUUGAGUGGCCGGCCUUACUUAGGAAACUCAAAAUUAUUUUCUGUAUUUUUGAGCCAUCCAAUCUUGAGAAAUUGACUAUUUUAUCGAUAGAAUUCAUGUGCUUUCCAAUAAUUUAUACUGAUUUAUUUCACAGUAUCAUAAUAAUUGUAAAUUGAUAAAUUGGGUUGAUUAGUACAUUCAUUAUAAUUGAAAGAAACUUUUAAACGCGAUCGGUGUCAAGAGAUUUUUUCAUAAUCUGUUUCUAAAUUCAUUCAUUCUCAACAGUAAUUUGAAAAUUUCAUGUGAUACUACUUAGACUAUUGAAACUAGUUUGUAGGUUACUCAUAAUUGCUAAACUGCCAUUUCAAUAGCAUUUCUUUUGUACACUGUAAUAUUUUAAUAAUUGUUAUAGACUUCUUAGAACUGUUGAAUACUAAUUACAAUUUUUCGAAUGAGUUUAUUGGAUAUUGAGAAUUUAAAAAAAAAGUAUAUAGAAUAAUUUUUCUAAUUCUGAAUUUUAUAGAAAUGUUAUUUAGACUAGAAAUAUUAUUUGAGUGCUGUAUACAGUAGUAUUGAAAUUUCAAUGUUAUUAAUAUGGAAGUCAAUUCUAUAUAUGUACCUUAAGAAAAUAA